RNAcentral lists this ribosomal RNA (468 nucleotides) under uncultured bacterium. RNAcentral's name for it is "partial 16S ribosomal RNA". It matches the Rfam family "Bacterial small subunit ribosomal RNA", at positions 28 to 507 of the family's 1533-position model. The record is from RNAcentral.
GACGAACGCUGGCGGCGUGCUUAACACAUGCAAGUCGAACGGAAAGGCCCUGCUUUUGUGGGGUGCGCGAGUGGCGAACGGGUGAGUAACACGUGAGUAACCUGUCCUUGACAUCGGGAUAACUUCAGGAAACUGGGGCUAUUACCGGAUAUGAGCUCCUGCUGCAUGGUGGGGGUUGGAAAGUUUCGGCGGUUGGGGAUGGACUCGCGGUUUAUCAGCUUGUUGGUGGGGUAGUGGCUUACAAAGGCUUUGACGGGUAGCCGGCCUGAGAGGGUGACCGGCCCCAUUGGGACUGAGCUAGGGCCCAGAGUGCUACGGGGGGAAGCGGUGGGGAACCUUGCGCAAUGGGCGGAAGCCUGAUGCAGCAAUGCCGGGUGCGGGAUGACGGCCUUCGGGUUAUAAACCGGUUUCGCGUGUAACGCAGCGUGAGUGACGGUAAUGGGUAAGAAAGCACCGGCUAACUACGUG